GCGGCAGGCUUACACUGCAAGUUAAGCGGGCAUAGCAAUAUGUCACCGGCAGAUAGGUGAGUAACACGUGGGAACGUACCUUUUGGUUCGGAACAACUGAGGGAAACUUCAGCUAAUACCGGAUAAGCCCUUACGGGGAAAGAUUUAUCGCCGAAAGAUCGGCCCGCGUCUGAUUAGCUAGUUGGUAGGGUAAUGGCCUACCAAGGCGACGAUCAGUAGCUGGUCUGAGAGGAUGAUCAGCCACACUGGGACUGAGACACGGCCAGACUCCUACGGGAGGCAGCAGUGGGGAAUAUUGGACAAUGGGCGCAAGCCUGAUCCAGCCAUGCCGCGUGAGUGAUGAAAGGCCCUAACGGUUGUAAAGCUUCUUUUUCAACGGGGAAGAUAAAUGACGGGUAACCGGUAGAAAUAAAGCCCCGGCUAAACU
This 427-nucleotide ribosomal RNA is filed under the name uncultured bacterium. Its description in RNAcentral is "bacterial SSU rRNA". It matches the Rfam family "Bacterial small subunit ribosomal RNA", at positions 39 to 503 of the family's 1533-position model. The record is from RNAcentral.